Molecule: non-coding RNA, 68 nt
Organism: Trichonephila clavipes
Lineage: Eukaryota; Metazoa; Arthropoda; Arachnida; Araneae; Nephilidae
Source: the annotation of a GenBank genome assembly
AUUAACGCAAUGGGUAGCGCGUUGAACUUCGAAUCCAAAGGUCGUAGGGUUGAAUCCGACCUGAAAUG